CAGGGGCCUUAGACAAAGUAACAAUUUAAAAACGAUAACGAAGUUAGAAAAGUCUAAAAUGUAUGGAGCUGCGUUAAGUCACGUGGUCAAUCGACAUCGUUAUCGCAAUUUGGUAGACAAUGUAACAUUUCAUAACGAAACCAUAAAGUAACGACAACGUUCACGAACGUUAUCGUGUUUACUCCAUACAAAUGCGUAGACAAGCAGCACUUUCAGUGUUCGUCUUCGCCUCGAUCGUGAUCGUCAUUAAGGAUAACGAAACGAACGCUAAAACGUUGUAGUUAUCGACUAAUACCGAAACAAUAUGGCCGGAUUUCAUUCUACAGCUGAUUUUUGACCUUGGUUGAUGACAUACUCUUGAGUAUUUAUUUUAUGUUAGAGGCAUUACUGCAGGUUAAAUAAUUUAUAAAAUGCAUUCUCUUCGUUUAUUGUGGGCUGUGCACAAUGAGAACGCCUGGGAGAGACGUCAAAACCGAUAAAUCAGCGACGGCUAUUGGAAACAAUUGAAGAAAUGCCUGAAUUGUUUUUCAUCUAACAUUUCAGACUUAAUAAAAGAGCAUUUAGGAAAUUAUGCAAGGACCUAGAAGCUCAUGCACGAUUAAAAGGUUCUACUGAAAUUCCCCUGGAACUAAAGGUGCUGUGUGCUCUUAGCUUUUUAGCUACUCGCUUGCCGCUGUCUCGAAGGAGGUCGCUCAAACGGUCGGGAGAAACAGCAGACUGCGGUGUCGCUGGCGAUCUCAACCGCGAACCACGCCUGAUGGAUGGAAAAAUAUUAUUUAUAUUAAAUAUUUAUGUAUAAGAUUUUUUAUAAAUACUAAUGCAUAAUUUAUAUAAUAGGUAAUAUUUAUAAAUAAUAAUUCAUAACCAGAUUAACCAAGUUAAAAACAAAUUUAUCAAAAAAUUAAAUGGUGUCUUUCAUGUAAGUGAAGUUACUUGGUUGACUAAUGUUAUUAAGAAUACUUUAUAAAACAUUUCGAUUUAUUUAUUUGCCAUCUACCUACUAGAGACAAUUAAGUAGCUCAUUUUUGAGCAGAUCCCUUGAAGGUGUAUACCUAGUACUUACAUUAAAUCCUAGUUUUUCUAUAGUCUUGUCCAUAGUUAUAAGUAUAAUAUAUAUGUAUAUGUUAUAAGUGUAAAUGAGAUUAAAAAGCCAAUUUGGCAUGAACUUUUGAAAAAUAACAAUAACAUGCGGGUUUGGACACCAAAGUAUAGCUUGUACUAUACUAUUAUAUGUACUUGUUUGAAUUUUUGUAGUAAGGAGUUUAAUGUAAGUUUAGUGUAAGUUUUCUUUUACAUAUUUGCUUAAAAGAAAACUUACAACUAAGAAAGCAAAUGUUUUAUGGUAUAUGCCAAUAAACAUUUCUUGUUUCUUUCUUA
Long non-coding RNA from Spodoptera frugiperda (fall armyworm), 1377 nucleotides. RefSeq lists it as uncharacterized. The transcript is spliced from 2 exons. NCBI's taxonomy places the organism in Eukaryota, Metazoa, Arthropoda, Insecta, Lepidoptera, Noctuidae. The record is from RefSeq and is a predicted model, not a curated record.